Molecule: ribosomal RNA, 1546 nt
Filed under: Pseudomonas sp. NFACC41-3
Lineage: Bacteria; Pseudomonadati; Pseudomonadota; Gammaproteobacteria; Pseudomonadales; Pseudomonadaceae
Description: bacterial LSU rRNA
Rfam family: Bacterial large subunit ribosomal RNA
Source: RNAcentral
AGGCUGAAAAGCGUAGUCGAUGGAAAACAGGUUAAUAUUCCUGUACUUCUAGUUAUUGCGAUGGAGGGACGGAGAAGGCUAGGCCAGCUUGGCGUUGGUUGUCCAAGUUUAAGGUGGUAGGCUGGAAUCUUAGGUAAAUCCGGGGUUCUAAGGCCGAGAGCUGAUGACGAGUUACCUUUUAGGUGACGAAGUGGUUGAUGCCAUGCUUCCAAGAAAAGCUUCUAAGCUUCAGAUAACUAGGAACCGUACCCCAAACCGACACAGGUGGUUGGGUAGAGAAUACCAAGGCGCUUGAGAGAACUCGGGUGAAGGAACUAGGCAAAAUGGCACCGUAACUUCGGGAGAAGGUGCGCCGGUGAGGGUGAAGGACUUGCUCCGUAAGCCCAUGCCGGUCGAAGAUACCAGGCCGCUGCGACUGUUUAUUAAAAACACAGCACUCUGCAAACACGAAAGUGGACGUAUAGGGUGUGACGCCUGCCCGGUGCCGGAAGGUUAAUUGAUGGGGUUAGCUAACGCGAAGCUCUUGAUCGAAGCCCCGGUAAACGGCGGCCGUAACUAUAACGGUCCUAAGGUAGCGAAAUUCCUUGUCGGGUAAGUUCCGACCUGCACGAAUGGCGUAACGAUGGCGGCGCUGUCUCCACCCGAGACUCAGUGAAAUUGAAAUCGCUGUGAAGAUGCAGUGUAUCCGCGGCUAGACGGAAAGACCCCGUGAACCUUUACUAUAGCUUUGCACUGGACUUUGAAUUUGCUUGUGUAGGAUAGGUGGGAGGCUUUGAAGCGUGGACGCCAGUUCGCGUGGAGCCAUCCUUGAAAUACCACCCUGGCAACUUUGAGGUUCUAACUCAGGUCCGUUAUCCGGAUCGAGGACAGUGUAUGGUGGGUAGUUUGACUGGGGCGGUCUCCUCCUAAAGAGUAACGGAGGAGUACGAAGGUGCGCUCAGACCGGUCGGAAAUCGGUCGUAGAGUAUAAAGGCAAAAGCGCGCUUGACUGCGAGACAGACACGUCGAGCAGGUACGAAAGUAGGUCUUAGUGAUCCGGUGGUUCUGUAUGGAAGGGCCAUCGCUCAACGGAUAAAAGGUACUCCGGGGAUAACAGGCUGAUACCGCCCAAGAGUUCAUAUCGACGGCGGUGUUUGGCACCUCGAUGUCGGCUCAUCACAUCCUGGGGCUGAAGCCGGUCCCAAGGGUAUGGCUGUUCGCCAUUUAAAGUGGUACGCGAGCUGGGUUUAGAACGUCGUGAGACAGUUCGGUCCCUAUCUGCCGUGGACGUUUGAGAUUUGAGAGGGGCUGCUCCUAGUACGAGAGGACCGGAGUGGACGAACCUCUGGUGUUCCGGUUGUCACGCCAGUGGCAUUGCCGGGUAGCUAUGUUCGGAAAAGAUAACCGCUGAAAGCAUCUAAGCGGGAAACUUGCCUCAAGAUGAGAUCUCACUGGAACCUUGAGUUCCCUAAAGGGCCGUCGAAGACUACGACGUUGAUAGGUUGGGUGUGUAAGCGCUGUGAGGCGUUGAGCUAACCAAUACUAAUUGCCCGUGAGGCUUGACCAU